CCCAGUCCAAUUUAUACCUGUCAAACAAUCGAUUCUACAACAACCAAUGUAUUUUAAUCAAUUUUAAAGUACUACACCUAAUUAUGAAAUUUAUUGAUGAUAUAGAGGAAGAAGGGAAUUAACUAUUCAAUUCUUACCUAUUACUACUUUAGAAUAAUUGACAAUGGGGAAUUUUAUAUACCUGAGUUCAAGAAUAAGUGAUUUGUAAAGAACCCUAGGUUUUCCGUUGACUGCGUGACUUAUUCGCUGCUUCUGUUUCUUACUUCCGUGUGUGCGUGCUUUCCUCUGUAAAAUUGUUUCUUAAGCUUUUGUGUUUGUUUUGACUUUCAUCAAGGCUUUAUGCCUUUGGUUUGUUUUGGUCGUGAGGCAGAGGAGUGAUAUAUGGGCUUUAAGCCCAAAUUCUUAAAAGCUUAGUUUGUUUCCCCUUUUUUUU
Molecule: long non-coding RNA, 433 nt
Filed under: Nicotiana tabacum (common tobacco)
Lineage: Eukaryota; Viridiplantae; Streptophyta; Magnoliopsida; Solanales; Solanaceae
Description: long non-coding RNA (NTAB_LNC018061)
Source: RNAcentral